This 423-nucleotide ribosomal RNA is filed under the name Triticum aestivum (bread wheat). Its description in RNAcentral is "partial small subunit ribosomal RNA". Lineage: Eukaryota; Viridiplantae; Streptophyta; Magnoliopsida; Poales; Poaceae. The record is from RNAcentral.
AUGUAUGAUUGUAUUGAUGGUGAUGACGUCUGGCGCAAGCUCCUGGCUUUGGUUCAUAGGAAGAAGAAGGGACGGAAGCAGAGAGAGAGGAGUAGUUGUGGGAUGGGGUCCGUAGUUUUCUUCAUGAGCCGAGUAGACUCUCUGGUGGCCUGUGGAUCGUGGUGCGUCUCGACCAAGUGGCAGAGCGACGGCCGGCGCUGGACUUCGCAUAUCGAGAGUCCCGACCCCGAGGUCUCUGAGGUAUCGCCUGAUGCGCUGCUCCACGGCAACACAGACGGCGACGAGUUCGUGGUGUCGCACUUGCCGUGGAUGGCGUCCUCCGUCUUCGGUCUGUUGAUUUGUCCAUUCACAACAUGGGGAAUUCAUUACCGACAUAUGCGAGGUGUCCUCGUGUCACCACGUGAGGAGCCCCAAAGCGUUUAG